RNAcentral lists this ribosomal RNA (775 nucleotides) under uncultured Neocallimastigales. RNAcentral's name for it is "partial large subunit ribosomal RNA". It matches the Rfam family "Eukaryotic large subunit ribosomal RNA", at positions 20 to 643 of the family's 3401-position model. Lineage: Eukaryota; Fungi; Neocallimastigomycota; Neocallimastigomycetes; Neocallimastigales. The record is from RNAcentral.
UACUAGAGUAGCACUCGCAUAUCAAUAAGCGGAGGAAAAGAAACUAACAAGGAUUCCCCUAGUAACGGCGAGUGAAGCGGGACGAGCUCAAAUUUGAAAUCUUAAAGGGUUUCCCUUUACGAAUUGUAGUUUAAAGAAGUGUUUUCUGUUGAGGUUUUGGUAAAAGUUCUUUGGAAUAGGACAUCAUAGAGGGUGAGAAUCCCGUAUUUGACCUUUACUUUCAACUUUGUGAUACACUUUCAAAGAGUCGGAUUGUUUGGGAAUGCAGUCCAAAAUGGGUGGUAAAUUUCAUCUAAAGCUAAAUAUUGGCGAGAGACCGAUAGCGAACAAGUACCGUGAGGGAAAGAUGAAAAGAACUUUGAAAAGAGAGUUAAACAGUACGUGAAAUUGUCAAAAGGGAAGCGUUUGACACCAGUGUUGUUUUUCUGAAAAUCAAUUAAAGAAACUGUUUAUGCUAAGCUUGUUUAGACUUUAUCAGCUAUCUGUUUAGUUUUGAGCUUUUCUUUAAUGCACUUUUCAGUUAACAAGUCAACAUCAAUUUCUUUUGCUGUAAAAAAGCUUGAGGAAGGUGGCUUGAGAUUCGUCUUAAGUGUUUAUAGCCUCUUGCCUAUGCAGUCGGAGAGAUUGAGGUCUGCAGCGUAGAUCCUUCGGGACUAAAUGCAUUUGUGCUAAGUUAUAGCAUUUUAUAGACAACUUGUUGACUAUGAUUUGUCUUGUAGCUUACUCGCUUAUGUUAUUUUACCUACGCUUAGGAUGUUGAACUACUGAGACAUAG